RNAcentral lists this unclassified non-coding RNA (253 nucleotides) under uncultured cyanobacterium. Its description in RNAcentral is "contains 16S-23S intergenic spacer region". It matches the Rfam family "Bacterial small subunit ribosomal RNA", at positions 524 to 776 of the family's 1533-position model. Lineage: Bacteria; Bacillati; Cyanobacteriota. The record is from RNAcentral.
UACGGAGGGUGCAAGCGUUGUCCGGAAUUAUUGGGCGUAAAGCGAACGUAGGCGGUUUCUUAAGUCUGGUCUUAAAGACCGGGGCUCAACCCCGGGAGUGGACCGGAUACUGGGAAGCUAGAGGAUGUCAGAGGAAAGUGGAAUUCCAAGUGUAGCGGUGAAAUGCGUAGAUAUUUGGAGGAACACCAGUGGCGAAAGCGGCUUUCUGGGACAUUCCUGACGCUGAGGUUCGAAAGCUCGGGGAGCAAACAGG